Molecule: ribosomal RNA, 253 nt
Filed under: uncultured bacterium
Lineage: Bacteria
Description: partial 16S ribosomal RNA
Rfam family: Bacterial small subunit ribosomal RNA
Source: RNAcentral
UACAGAGGUCUCGAGCGUUGUUCGGAUUCAUUGGGCGUAAAGGGUGCGUAGGUGGCGCUGUAAGUCGGGUGUGAAAUCCUGGAGCUCAACUCCAGAACUGCCUUUGAUACUGGAGAGCUUGAGUCCGGAAGAGGUGAGUGGAAUUCCGAGUGUAGAGGUGAAAUUCGUAGAUAUUCGGAAGAACACCAGUGGCGAAGGCGGCUCACUGGACUGGUAUUGACGCUGAGGUGCGAAAGCGUGGGGAGCAAACAGG